RNAcentral lists this ribosomal RNA (401 nucleotides) under uncultured bacterium. RNAcentral's name for it is "bacterial SSU rRNA". It matches the Rfam family "Bacterial small subunit ribosomal RNA", at positions 29 to 429 of the family's 1533-position model. The record is from RNAcentral.
AUUGAACGCUGGCGGCAUGCCUAACACAUGCAAGUCGAACGGCAGCACGGCAGUAGCAAUACUGUGGGUGGCGAGUGGCGGACGGGUGAGGAAUACGUCGGAAUCUGCCCAGUCGUGGGGGAUAACUAGCCGAAAGGUUAGCUAAUACCGCAUACGACCGAGAGGUGAAAGCGGGGGACCGCAAGGCCUCGCGCGAUUGGAUGAGCCGACGUCGGAUUAGCUAGUUGGUGGGGUAAAGGCCCACCAAGGCGACGAUCCGUAGCUGGUCUGAGAGGAUGAUCAGCCACACUGGAACUGAGACACGGUCCAGACUCCUACGGGAGGCAGCAGUGGGGAAUAUUGGACAAUGGGCGCAAGCCUGAUCCAGCAAUGCCGCGUGUGUGAGAAGGCCUCGGUGUAAG